UACGUAGGGUGCAAGCGUUGUCCGGAAUUCUUGGGCGUAAAGAGCUCGUAGGCGGUUUGUCGCGUCUGCUGUGAAAACUCGGGGCUUAACUCCGGGCCUGCAGUGGGUACGGGCAGACUAGAGUGCGGUAGGGGAGACUGGAAUUCCUGGUGUAGCGGUGAAAUGCGCAGAUAUCAGGAGGAACACCGGUGGCGAAGGCGGGUCUCUGGGCCGUAACUGACGCUGAGGAGCGAAAGCGUGGGGAGCGAACAGG
This 253-nucleotide ribosomal RNA is filed under the name uncultured bacterium. RNAcentral's name for it is "partial 16S ribosomal RNA". It matches the Rfam family "Bacterial small subunit ribosomal RNA", at positions 524 to 776 of the family's 1533-position model. The record is from RNAcentral.